CACCCCAAGAUACGUCUCUUUGGCAUCAGGAUUAUUUGAGGCUGAUUGCUUUUGAUAAACUGGGACAGGGAAGGAGGCUCUGAGGAAUGGAACUUGCCCUUCCUUAGGACGUAUUUACAUUUGUAAGGUAAAUCUCUAUCUGUAAAAGGCGCCUCCCUCUCUGUACCAGGAAGAAGAAAGGAGAUGACCUUCUCUCCAAAAACUCUUAAUCAAUACCAAAGGCAAGGACUUAAAUCUGCAUUUUAUUGUGCUAGUCUGGUAACCUCCUGUAACUGACUUCCCUCCUCCUCCCAACUUUGGCAUUUCUUUAAGGAUUAAGCAUCUUUCUUUAGGCUAGGAACUGAUUGCUGAGCUCACCUGUGACCGCCCAGCUUCAGACAAUCGACUUGCCUCCUGCUACGCCCACAGAGAUAGCUCACCCAGACUUACCACUGCUUGCUGUGUCCAUCAAGCACUGUGCUGACGGGGCAAUCUUGUGACUAUUGUGGGAGGGACAUUUCAAUCACAUGUGAAACACCCCGUUUGGGGGUAUAUAACCACUCUGUGCACCCCAUUUCUUCAGUGCCCUUUCUUCCUUCAGGAAGAAAGGCCCCGGGCCAUGGUUCCUCAUAAAGCUUUGUUUAAUUUUCUCUUGCUAUUCUGUCUCACGUGAAUUUAAUUCGUUCUCCAGCCAGACGAACCCACAUUUGGGGAGAGGAAAUGUCCUCCUCCCCUACAGUUUUGGCAUAGUCAGCAGGAUGAAAUUUCCCUGGCUGGACAUUGCUUGCUCCUGGACUGCUGCGGCCGAGAGAUCCUGGACCCCUGACGGGAGCCGGCAAGAGGUAAGAGUUCUUACCACGUCAGUCUCCCGGAUCUCUGACUGCAGGCUCCAAUGGAAGAAAGAGUGGACACAUUGGUUAUCUUGCCAAAGCUUUGACUGCAAUGUCAUAUUUGAGAGGAACAUACAGACUCGGAUAUGACAAUACUGCCUUUGAGGAAUAAGGUUGACUUUCUGGAAAUAAGCCACUUGGAAAUAUGGGCCUGGUACCUUGUUUACAGAGAUUCUGGCAAUCUUACCUGGUAAGCAAGGAAGCUUGAUUAUCUGUCAGAUGUAAGGAACCUCGGAAUAUUUUGGGGGACCUCAAGAAGAGAGGAGUCCACCCAAAUCUGUAGGUACUGCAGGCAAAACCUGACAGCAAGUCCUUGGCUUGGCUUUUCUGGCCUCGAGAGGCCUUUACAGUUCAAUCUGAGAUUCCUCAUAAAAAAAUUCCAGCAAAGCAAAUUUAAGAGCCUAUAUGAUCAACUGCUAUUCUUGCUGCACUUCUGUAAAUAAUUGGGCCAAGUUUCUUGAAACUAAACUUAUUUUGCAAACCAAUUAGUCUUAAUUUUGCUAUCUUUGGUAAAAAAAUGAGGGUGAUUUUAGAGAGAAGAACUAUGUUUCAGUGAAAAACUAUAAUACACAUUUGUGUAUGUUGGAUCCUAGUUUUGUUAAUUGUCUUUGAGUUUUUUUUUUCUACCUGUGAACUGGAUUGGAUCCUGAAUUAUUCUACUGAAAUAUCUGGUUACAAAUCUCCAAACUAAUGUUUUCAAUUUUUUUACCUCAUUUUCAUUUGGAAUCAUUGAGAAUUGAACCUGCUCUUUUUCCUGAAGCCUUGCAAACUGAAGCUGAACGGCUUGAUAGAAACUUGAGAGAUUCCUGUCUGUUGCUGUGUAAGCUGUAAGCCACUCAGAAAGAUACCUGAAUGCCCGAUGACAUCACCAGAGACAUUUCAAGCUGCUAAAGAUGCUUCACUCUGACAUCUAGAAGUCUUCUUGACUGACUGCAUGCUGGACUCGGGAACUAGUUUAUAAUUUGCUCC
Long non-coding RNA from Equus caballus (horse), 1838 nucleotides. The record is from Ensembl. NCBI's taxonomy places the organism in Eukaryota, Metazoa, Chordata, Mammalia, Perissodactyla, Equidae.